Long non-coding RNA from Sorex fumeus (smoky shrew), 400 nucleotides. RefSeq lists it as uncharacterized. The record is from RefSeq and is a predicted model, not a curated record. Lineage: Eukaryota; Metazoa; Chordata; Mammalia; Eulipotyphla; Soricidae. The transcript is spliced from 3 exons.
GGCUAAAGCAGCGUUCAGCAAUCUUUACUACAGUCCCUCUUUAAAUGUUUCCUGAGAGAAAAAUCAGAUUCUGACCCUCUAUCAGCCAGCUGCUUUUCUGGAGGUUGUGCUUGGAGGAAAAUGGAAAGUUGGCCUUCUGAUUGCUUUUCUUCCUUUUAAUCUUUUUGGAGGUGGCGGCACCGCUGGUGAUGCUGCUGCUAACUGCUGGCUCUGCUCUCAGGAAUCACUCCUGGCCGGGCUCGGCGGCCGUAUAGGGUGCCAGGAAUGGAAGCCGGGUCAGCCGUGUGCAAGAUUGCACCCGGUGAUGCUCAGAGGUUACUUCUGGUGGUGCUUGGGGGACCAUAUGAGAUGCUGGAGAUUGAACCCGGCUAGACCGCAUGCAGGGCAAACGCCCUACCCA